AACGUAGGUGGCGAGCGUUAUCCGGAUUCACUGGGCGUAAAGAGAACGUAGGCGGCUUUUCAAGUCGGAUGUGAAAUCUCUCUGCUUAAUGGAGAGACGUCAUCCGAUACUGUUGAGCUUGAGGGCGACAGGGGAAGGUAGAAUUCCCGGUGUAGUGGUGAAAUGCGUAGAUAUCGGGAGGAAUACCAGUGGCGAAGGCGGCCUUCUGGGUCGUUUCUGACGCUUAUGUUCGAAGGCGUGGGGAGCAAACAGG
This 253-nucleotide ribosomal RNA is filed under the name uncultured bacterium. RNAcentral's name for it is "partial 16S ribosomal RNA". It matches the Rfam family "Bacterial small subunit ribosomal RNA", at positions 524 to 776 of the family's 1533-position model. The record is from RNAcentral.